Molecule: ribosomal RNA, 379 nt
Filed under: uncultured bacterium
Lineage: Bacteria
Description: bacterial SSU rRNA
Rfam family: Bacterial small subunit ribosomal RNA
Source: RNAcentral
AUUGAACGCUGGCGGCAUGCUUUACACAUGCAAGUCGAACGGUAACAGGCCUUCGGGUGCUGACGAGUGGCGAACGGGUGAGUAAUGCAUCGGAACGUGCCCAAUCGUGGGGGAUAACGUAGCGAAAGUUACGCUAAUACCGCAUAAGCCCUGAGGGGGAAAGCAGGGGAUCGCAAGACCUUGCGCGAAUGGAGCGGCCGAUGUCAGAUUAGCUAGUUGGUGGGGUAAAGGCCUACCAAGGCGACGAUCUGUAGCGGGUCUGAGAGGAUGAUCCGCCACACUGGAACUGAGACACGGUCCAGACUCCUACGGGAGGCAGCAGUUUGGGGAAGUAUUGGACAAUGGGGGCGAACCCUGAUCCAGCCAUGCCGCGUGUGUG